GAUGAACGCUGGCGGCAUGCCUAAUACAUGCAAGUCGAACGAGAGGAAGGAAAGCUUGCUUUUCUGAAUCUAGUGGCGAACGGGUGAGUAACACGUAGGUAACCUACCCAUGUGCCCGGGAUAACUUCUGGAAACGGAUGCUAAAACCGGAUAGGUAGCAGACAAGCAUUUGACUGCUAUUAAAGUGGCUAAGGCCAUGAACAUGGAUGGACCUGCGGUGCAUUAGCUAGUUGGUGAGGUAACGGCCCACCAAGGCGACGAUGCAUAGCCGGCCUGAGAGGGCGGACGGCCACAUUGGGACUGAGACACGGCCCAAACUCCUACGGGAGGCAGCAGUAGGGAAUUUUCGUCAAUGGGGGGAACCCUGAACGAGCAAUGCCGCGUGAGUGAAGAAGGUCUUCGGAUCGUAAAGCUCUGUUGUAAGAGAAAAACGACAUUCAUAGGG
Molecule: ribosomal RNA, 445 nt
Filed under: uncultured bacterium
Lineage: Bacteria
Description: bacterial SSU rRNA
Rfam family: Bacterial small subunit ribosomal RNA
Source: RNAcentral